Molecule: long non-coding RNA, 434 nt
Organism: Vespula vulgaris
Lineage: Eukaryota; Metazoa; Arthropoda; Insecta; Hymenoptera; Vespidae
Exons: 3
Source: RefSeq, a predicted model, not a curated record
CUCUUGUGAAUUCACCAGCAUUACCAGCACUUGCUGGCACAUUCAAGCCAACUCCAGCUUUUGGAUCGUUUAUUGUGAAAGAUUGUCCGUACAAUGGCAUUCCUAAUUGACGAAGAAAAAGUUUUAAAGCGAAUUAUGGGGCACCUUUUGCGAUCCAGUAAUUUAUCGAAUAAUUCGCAUUAAAAUAAUAAAAUUCAUCAUCUGGAUGAGAAUACAUCGGAGCGACAUGUCCAGUCCUCUUAUCCCACUGUCCAUGAUAAUCAUACGUCAUGACUGCAAUCCAAUCCAAAUAUUUUGCUAAGGUUAAUACUUAAUUCCUUUACUAAUGCUGCGAAACUUUCUUUAUCCGAGGCUGGUCCUUUCUUGCAAUCCACCUAAUUAAUCGAUUAUAUAUUAAUUAGUUAUAUAAGUUUACUAUUGAUGAUAUAAUCCCG